Molecule: ribosomal RNA, 252 nt
Filed under: uncultured bacterium
Lineage: Bacteria
Description: partial 16S ribosomal RNA
Rfam family: Bacterial small subunit ribosomal RNA
Source: RNAcentral
UACGUAGGGUGCGAGCGUUGUCCGGAAUUAUUGGGCGUAAAGGGCUCGUAGGCGGUUUGUCGCGUCGGGAGUGAAAUCCACUGGCUUAACUGGUGGCUUGCUUUCGAUACGGGCAGACUGGAGGUAUGCAGGGGAGAACGAAUUCCUGGUGUAGCGGUGAAAUGCGCAGAUAUCAGGAGGAACACCGGUGGCGAAGGCGGUUCUCUGGGCAUGUCCUGACGCUGAGGAGCGAAAGUGUGGGGAGCGAACAGG